This 434-nucleotide ribosomal RNA is filed under the name uncultured bacterium. RNAcentral describes it as "partial 16S ribosomal RNA". It matches the Rfam family "Bacterial small subunit ribosomal RNA", at positions 29 to 507 of the family's 1533-position model. The record is from RNAcentral.
AGCGAACGCUGGCGGCAGGCCUAACACAUGCAAGUCGAACGAACCUUUCGGGGUUAGUGGCGGACGGGUGAGUAACACGUGGGAACGUGCCUUUAGGUUCGGAAUAACUCAGGGAAACUUGUGCUAAUACCGAAUGUGCCCUUCGGGGGAAAGAUUUAUCGCCUUUAGAGCGGCCCGCGUCUGAUUAGCUAGUUGGUUGAGGUAAUGGCUCACCAAGGCGACGAUCAGUAGCUGGUCUGAGAGGAUGAUCAGCCACAUUGGGACUGAAACACGGCCCAAACUCCUACGGGAGGCAGCAGUGGGGAAUCUUGCGCAAUGGGCGAAAGCCUGACGCAGCCAUGCCGCGUGAAUGAUGAAGGUCUUAGGAUUGUAAAAUUCUUUCACCGGGGACGAUAAUGACGGUACCCGGAGAAGAAGCCCCGGCUAACUUCGUG